ACAGAGGGUGCGAGCGUUGUCCGGAAUUACUGGGCGUAAAGGGCGCGUAGGCGGGAUGGCAAGUCGGUCGUGAAAUCCCUCGGCUCAACUGAGGAGCGUCGAUCGAAACUGCCGUUCUUGAGGGUUGCAGAGGAGACUGGAAUUCCCGGUGUAGCGGUGAAAUGUGUAGAGAUCGGGAGGAACACCGGUGGCGAAGGCGGGUCUCUGGGCAACUCCUGACGCUGAGGCGCGAAAGCGUGGGGAGCAAACGGGA
This 253-nucleotide ribosomal RNA is filed under the name uncultured prokaryote. RNAcentral describes it as "partial 16S ribosomal RNA". It matches the Rfam family "Bacterial small subunit ribosomal RNA", at positions 525 to 777 of the family's 1533-position model. The record is from RNAcentral.